GCUUUUGGCUUGCAUUCGCUUUCUCCCUCCGAAAGUGGGCGACAUCAAGCAAGUCCCAGUUACAGAAAGAACCCACUGCAGGGCGUCCAGUCACUUGCCCAGUGAAAAGACUGUAAUCAGACAACUUUAAUAAAGGGAGAGCAGGAGAGUGGUGACGAAUUUCCACAUUCCGAACAAGCUUGUCGAAAGAGGAGUGCAGGGAAGGAGCAAGAAUGAGGCACUGGAAGACGGUGAGCGGGGCCUUGCCACAGAAUCCCGGGCCCACCUGCUUUCUCACAGUCGCGACAGCCGGCCCGGAGAAGGGCAGCCCAGCGAAGGGCACGCCCCGCGCGGGUGCCAGGGAGGCCGGCAGGGGCGUCCGCGGUCGCUGCUCACCUGCGCUCCCCGCUGCCCGGCCCAGCCCGCCUCGCCACCGAGUCUGGAAGCCCACACUCACCCCUUUACCCGGGAAACGCGGCCGGAGCCGGCGGCGGGUCGGGAGUCCGAGAUGGUAGAUCCCCCUCCAGGCGCCUCGCUGACAUUUUGUCCCGGACGGAAAACCUCCGCGCGUGCCCCUUAAAGACACAGCGCUGCAUUCACACGUCUGCGGGGAAAGGGGGGCCGUCACGUGUGGCCUUCGCCCGAAAGCGGUAGGGGAGUCGCUCUGAAACCGCCAAGGAUCGCGAGCGACAGAUUUGUGUUGGCCAGGGUUUUAAGAUGACGCAAUAGCUGAGUGUGGUUGAAAUGUAACUAUUGUUUUACAACUUUGCAUUAACCUUCCAAGACCUGAAUUCCCGGGCCUGAGUCUCAGAGCGCGGUUUGCAUCUUUGCAGGCUGUAGGCGCAUGAUGUCACAAGUUAUUGGAAGAAAUCCCUCCAACCUAGGUUGGGACAGAUGAAGGCGGCGCUUAUUGGUGUUCACCAAAACACCAGCAUGGUGUACCAGCUUUGGCUAGAUGAUGCUCAGAACACCAGAGACUGGGUAAUUAAUAAAAAGAAGAAAUUGAUCUGGCCUACAGUUCUGGAGCCUUGGAAGUCCGAGAUCAAGGAGCUGCAUCUGGGUUCUAGGAUGCCUCAUAAAGGCCCGUAGUGUACUUUCUGUCUACUUCACUUAGCUCCGCAUUUGCAAUUUCUGUUAACAUGCAUACAGUUGAAUGGAUGGCCAGGAUCAAAGCUAUCUGCUGUGAGACACAAUGAGAAAUGCUUUUGUGUAAAGGAAAACACAGAUCCUGGUGCCGAACAUGAGGACAGGGCAGGCCGAAGGAGAAAGUGGAAGGAGGGGAGCUUCUCUCUCAGCCUCAUCCUUCUGGGCCUGGAUGCUGGAGAGUCAUGAGGUGCUUCAGAGUACUCUGGGUGAGGAGGGAAAGAUGGUGCCCACCACAUGGAGGCCAGCCUAGGUCUUGUAUGAAACCUGUGAGCUAGCUGAAAGCAGAGAACCCAGCAGAGGAUUCUGGGAAGGUCCUGGGGGAUGGCAGAGCCAGCAGAGAGAGGGUAUGGAUCCACCAGGCAUAGGAUGGAACAGAGCACUAUUGACCACAGUGAACUGGGGCAUGGGCAAUCAAUAAACACAUAUUAGAUUAAGCUAUUGAGACUCAGGGAUUUUUAUACAACUGACAUUCCCUAAGAAGCCAUGAUCUUCCUGUCUCAGGAGGUGCAUAAGCAGUGGUUGAAUGUUCAACAGUCAAGAAUGUUAUAAAAAGAGGUUCUUGGGAGAGUGGACCUGAUGGCCAGCAAAAAUCAUAGCUCACAUUUAUUGAGUUAUUAUGGCUCAGGCAUGUGCACAUAUUCUUUUAUUUAAAUCUACAAUAUGCUUUAUCAUGCUCAUUUUAUACAUGAGGAACACAAGGCAUGGAGAGGUUAGAUAACAUGCCUAAGAUCAUGAAGCAAGCAAGGGGGAGAAAAGAUACCCUUCUCACUCCUUCCAGACAGCUCACUUCACCACCACUCCCCACUGUCUCUAAAGCAAAAGUUAUUUGAAGGCUUAGGGACUGGUUUGGUAUUAUCCAUGCAGGGCGGUUUGUUUUGUUUUUCUUUUAAAAUUUCAGCCUAUGCUUAAAAGAUUUCAUGUAAAAAUUCUGUUUUCUAGUUUCUCUUGAAAAUUAAGAAGAUCUGGUAAAACUGGGCUUGAAGACCAUUAUGGUAACAGGCUGCUGAAGCUGAGGAGAGGGCCCCUUCAGAUGGGCAUAAGCACUGCUCCCCCUCCCCAACCCCCCUUUUAGGUUACUAUCAGACUCUGGAAGCUUCUGAAUGUGUGAACCCUGAAAGAGUCCAUCUAAAGCUAAGUUCUCCCCAGGGGUAGAGCCCAAUGCUGGGCAUACAGUAGGG
Molecule: long non-coding RNA, 2303 nt
Filed under: Homo sapiens (human)
Lineage: Eukaryota; Metazoa; Chordata; Mammalia; Primates; Hominidae
Description: HSALNT0089952
Source: RNAcentral